Molecule: ribosomal RNA, 134 nt
Filed under: uncultured bacterium
Lineage: Bacteria
Description: partial 16S ribosomal RNA
Rfam family: Bacterial small subunit ribosomal RNA
Source: RNAcentral
UCGCCCUUCCUACGGGAGGCAGCAGUGGGGAAUAUUGCACAAUGGGCGCAAGCCUGACGCAGCGACGCCGCGUGAGGGAUGACGGCCUUCGGGUUGUAAACCUCUUUCAGUACAGACGAAGCGCAAGUGACCGG